GAUGAACGCUGGCGGCGUGCCUAAUACAUGCAAGUCGAGCGAACAGACGAGGAGCUUGCUCCUCUGACGUUAGCGGCGGACGGGUGAGUAACACGUGGAUAACCUACCUAUAAGACUGGGAUAACUUCGGGAAACCGGAGCUAAUACCGGAUAAUAUAUUGAACCGCAUGGUUCAAUAGUGAAAGACGGUUUUGCUGUCACUUAUUGAUGGAUCCGCACCGCAUUAGCUAGUUGGUAAGGUAACGGCUUACCAAGGCAACGAUGCGUAGCCGGCCUGAGAGGGUGAUCGGCCACACUGGAACUGAGACACGGUCCAGACUCCUACGGGAGGCAGCAGUAGGGAAUCUUCCGCAAUGGGCGAAAGCCUGACGGAGCAACGCCGCGUGAGUGAUGAAGGUCUUCGGAUCGUAAAACUCUGUUAUUAGGGAAGAACAAAUGUGUAAGUAACUAUGCACGUCUUGACGGUACCUAAUCAGAAAGCCACGGCUAACUACGUGCCAGCCGCCGCCGUAA
RNAcentral lists this ribosomal RNA (513 nucleotides) under uncultured bacterium. RNAcentral describes it as "partial 16S ribosomal RNA". It matches the Rfam family "Bacterial small subunit ribosomal RNA", at positions 28 to 523 of the family's 1533-position model. The record is from RNAcentral.